RNAcentral lists this ribosomal RNA (253 nucleotides) under uncultured bacterium. Its description in RNAcentral is "partial 16S ribosomal RNA". It matches the Rfam family "Bacterial small subunit ribosomal RNA", at positions 524 to 776 of the family's 1533-position model. The record is from RNAcentral.
UACGUAGGGUCCGAGCGUUGUCCGGAAUUACUGGGCGUAAAGAGCUCGUAGGUGGUUUGUCGCGUUGUUCGUGAAAACUCACAGCUCAACUGUGGGCGUGCGGGCGAUACGGGCAGACUUGAGUACUGCAGGGGAGACUGGAAUUCCUGGUGUAGCGGUGAAAUGCGCAGAUAUCAGGAGGAACACCGGUGGCGAAGGCGGAUCUCUGGGCCUUACCUGACGCUCAGGUGCGAAAGCUAGGGGAGCGAACAGG